Molecule: long non-coding RNA, 4787 nt
Filed under: Medicago truncatula (barrel medic)
Lineage: Eukaryota; Viridiplantae; Streptophyta; Magnoliopsida; Fabales; Fabaceae
Description: long non-coding RNA (MTRU_LNC006434)
Source: RNAcentral
AUAAACUCUGUCCCCUAUUUGGAUAAAACGUGCUGGAUUGAUUAGAUUGCCGCACAAAAGUCUGUCCAUAUUUUUUUUCUUUCUUUCUGGGAUUUUGUCCACCUAGCAGUCCGUGGCAUGACUCAUCGCCUUUAACGUUGAAAGAAGAAAACAAUGUAUUUGAGUGUAUGCUGAACUUAUUUUCUGCUCUUUUGCAGGGAGAUUAUUAUCUUGGAAGACUGGAGGACUUCAAAAUAACAAUAUUAUGGUUAGUAAUUGCUAGUAUCUUUCCUUAUUAUAUUUGAAAUAUUUGUACAAAAGAAGCAAUUUUCAAAGAAAAUGCUGCCUAUUCAGGUCCUAAUCAUUGAAUCUGCUGUUCUGACUCUUCUGAGAGUUUUCUUUUUCAAGCAAAUGCUUUUUCUCUUGAGCGAUGAUUUGAUAUAACUGGUGAUGUUUGCCUGAUAAAUGUAUAUUAAUGAAUAACCCAAAUGUUUGGAUUUAAAAAACUUCUUUGGUGUCAAUUGAAGUCUUGGAGCUUUCCAGCAAGAUAGCAUGGAUAAUACUGUAGUAGGUUAUAUUUAUCUAGAGUAUUUUUUAUCUUUGUAUUAGUAUUAUAUGGUACGAUACUGUACCACUAUCCUAAUACAUAACAUAACUAUCCACAUUGGGCACAUUUUUCCAAAUAUCUCUUCAUUUUACAGUAUACCACGAGCCUUUUUAUUUAUUUCUGUCUGUACUGAAAAAUAUACACAAAAAAGAAAACCACAGAACACCUCUUUCCAACAAACUGACUCAGUUGAGGUCACUUUUGUUCACACUAGGCAGCCUAGCAUAGUACUUUUGACUUCCAGCGAGUUUCUGGUUGUACCUGGCCAGUGAGAUUGAGUGGAGGACUGUGGCUAGUGGUGAGCCUGGGUCGAGUUCUUGAAAUCAGGUAGAGUUCAUGCACCUAGUCUGCGUGAUGUCUCAGAAUAAAGCUGCUCUGUUGAUCUGUUGGUGGCUUGUCCUUCUACUUUCCAGUACAGAUGACGAUUCCAUGUGUUCCAGUGCUUGAUGCACUCCUGCCUAACCUAACAUCUUCAACGCAACAAUUUUCUGACUCUUGUACCGGUUUGGUGCACCUGGUUUGUUUGAUAUAACGGAGUUGUUUUUGAGAUCUUUUGUCAGGACAAUCUAUUUCCCAGUACAGACAAGGAUGGUUGGAGCUCUCAUGAGUCACGACCUCUCCUAGAGGUGGUUUUCCGACUCUUCAACACUGCUUUGUGUUUCUUCUGCUUGUUUUUUGAUCCACGUCCCUGCUCUAUUAUUUUUGGAGGUGAUUGGCAUCAGUCUUUUUUCUUGGCUUCCCCAUCUAGUGUUCUAUUAAUAUGGGUGGCGACGGUGAUGAUUCUGUGUGACUAAUAAUCAGUAGUGGAAGUGUUAGUAAUGAAUAGAGCCAGGCAAGUGGCAGAGGUGAUUGCAAAAUGUUGUCCAACAAUGGCAGUGGUAGUAAUGAACGGUGUCAAAAGACGAUGGCAUAGGCAUCGACUAUCAAGCUAUGAAGGUGGAGGAUACCAGAGAGUGCUGGGGGGAGGGUGCCUGAUGUUGGCGGUGGAAGAUGCCAAACAACUACUUGCCAACGAAGGUAGUGGUUGAGGUUUCUUGGAGGUAGCAGUGAUGCCGAUAAGCAUUGCCAUAUGGAAGAGGUGGCAGUGAUACUGUCAAGCAGUGCCAUAUGACAAUGGUAGAGGGUGUCAUGCGGCGGUGUGGGGAGGGUACUUGGCGGGGGCAGCCAAGAGGUUGUUGGAAGGUGAUGGUAAAGGGUGCAGGCUGGAGAGGUAAUGAUGGAUGGUGUAAGGCAAUUGUGACGGUGGAGGUUGUCGGGUGGUGAUGCUUGAAAAGGGAAAAAAUCUAGAUCUUAUCCAGCUCCCUCUCAAGAUAAAUUUUACAUCAAUGAAUAGAAUCGAAUAAGCCACUAGGGUAAUCUUUUUAUAUCCUAUUGGUUCAACCAACAAAGGAUUAUGAUGAGAAAUAUGAUAACUUGUCCUAUUUUAUCUUUCUUAUCUUGACCGCCAAACAGGCUUUAAAGUCAACCUAGAUGGAUCAUUUUCAUUCUCAAGGCUUGCACUUUUAAAGGCUAGUCUUAGACUCGCAGUGUCGACUACGCUAAAACAUUCUCAUCUAGCUCUGGGUUGGCUUUUGUUUGUCUGUUCAUUUGUUGCCCACAUCAUCAUUGGCUUGUGCAUCUUUUUGCUGAAAAUACCAUUCUCCAUAGUGAUCUAUAAUAAGAAGUCUAUAUGGAGCAAAUUAAUUGUGUGAAGGUUUGUUGGUUAGAUGAAUCCCAUUUGGCUUGAAAUAAUCUCCCCAGGUUUGGUUUGAGAUCUUAAGUGAAGUACUCGCAGGAUUCUUUAAGUUUAAUCAUGAGGCAAUAAUUGCUUUUUUGUAAUAUGUAUUGUCAAAAGCUCUCCAAGGAAGUUACCAAAAAAAUAUGAUUUAGAUAUGGUCAUGUUCAUAUAAUCUUUAUCAAAAAUCCAUAAGUUUAUGGUCAUUCUCAUGGUAGUCUAUGUUGAUGACAUGGUAAUAUUUUGGGAGCGACACAUUUGGUAUAGAAAAAUUCAAUCACAUAUUUCAAACCAAUUUUCCAACAGAAGAUCCAGGCCAUUUGAAGCACAUGGGAAUUAAAAAGAGAUUUUCCUAUCUUAGUGAAAAUAUUUCAUUUGUUUACUGGAAAUAUGUUCUCGAUCUCCUUCCAAAUUUGCAUGUUGGAAAAUAGACAUUGUGACACUAUAAUGUAAAACUCAUUUAAGAUGAUCUAGUCUGGAAAGGUACAGGAGGUUAGUUAAUACUCAAGUAUCUCACUGUGACAUGUCCGGACAUUGCUUUCCCAGUAAGUGUCGUAAAUCUGUUCGUGUCAUCUCCUCUAAGUCUUGUUCGAAAGCAAUUUUCCAUAUCUCAAGUUAUUUGUAAUGAGCUUUGAGUUGUGUGAUUUUUUCUAAAGACUGUGGCUACAUAUAGUAGGACAUUUCGAUGCAGAAUGCAGAUGGCUUGAUGACCUUAUCAAUCAAAAAAUGAAUCCUGUUACUGAGUGUUCCUUCCUCAGAGGAAAUUUUAUCCCUUGCAAAACAAGAAAUAAAAUGCAGUUGCAAGACCACCGUGUCUGAUUAUUUGGGCAAUGACUCAAACUUAGUUAUAUGGGGGAAUUGUCUAUAGUCUGAGUUUGGACUAAAGAACUCUCUUUUGAAACAUUAAUGUGAAAGCGAGUCUGCUAUCCACAUUCCCUCAAACCCAGUGUUUAAUGAAAGAGGGUAACUUGGGAAAGGAUUUAAAACUGACGUGUAUUUAGUAGACAUAUUUGAAGUGGGGACCAGUUAGGUAAGAUCUUCCCUAAGCACUUAAGGGGAGUAGGGUAUCUUUGUAACCAGUUGGACAUGAUCAACACCUACACUCCAAUUUUAGGGUAAGUAAUAGUUGUGUUAUGUGUGUACAUCAUUUAUGUGCAAAGGACAUUUCUGCCUUCUGCACUACAUUGUACUAAACUGUACUGCUAGCCUAAGUAUACUUUACACAAAGACUUCCACGCCUGGUUCGAUACAGUUCCCCAAACUUCCCUUCAAUUGAUGUCAACCAAAUAGAAAUCAUCUUUAACUGGUUCUGAGGGCGGUUUUGAACUGGUGUGUUACUCAAGUACUUAAAACAAUUUGCAGACACAAAUUGCAUAUACAAUCUACUGGAAGCAAUUUAAACCUGCAUCAGACUACAUUUAAGCUCCACCACCUCAGUUUUACUUUAAUCUUAAGUAGUAGUAAGUUGGUAAAUUUUCAUAAUUUUCUGUAGUAAAUGGAGCAAUUCCCUCACUCCAAUAAUUUUGUAAUGAUAAAAGAGAACAUAUACAAAAACGUCCAAUAGUUUGUGAAUGUCAUUCAAUUUGAUAUUAUAUGUCAUUGCAGGUUGGAAUAAUACCUUGGCUAGCAAUAUCUUCCAGGGUUAGCAAAUUUAUUUGUAAACUCACGUAUGGCAAAUAGAUUUUCAUGAUCUUCAUCGAGAAUGACUGAUUGGUAGCUGGUUGGAGCGGUAUCGUGGAUUUAAAACAGCAAGAACAGGACAUUACUAGGUUGUACAUCUUGAAAUUAGUCCCUCCUGCCUCCUGCUUGUUAUAUGAUAUGCAUUUCUUCUGGGCUGUUUUUAUUUUUCCACUUGAUUUUUUUUUGGGUACUUAUCAAGAAAUUUUGUCUUCAAAUAAGGAGAUUUGUUUUAAAGGCCUUUGGAUUAGUCUUAUUUAUUAAUUUGUUUGUUUUUGAUGUUGAAUUGGUAAGUUUGUAAAUUUUUGAUGGUGUAAUUUGUGUUCUUUUUUUGAGGGUUGGUUCUAUUGUAUCAAAAAAGAGGGGACAGUAGUUUUGACUUGAAUUAGGUGUUGUACAGCAAGUAUGUCAUGAGGUUAUUUAUGCUGUGAUUAAUUUGUUAUUUUCUGAUUAAAGUUAAAACAAAAAUAUUAUGCUUGUCGGACAAAAAAACUAAAGGGAAAAUAUUGUAAAGGAAGCGAUGCGGCUCUUGUUCUUAAUGCCGGUCCUGUUCAACCGGGAACGUCUGGUCCAAUAUAAUCAUAUACCGAAGGAUGUAAAAUUGGCAAAACUAUUCAAAAAACGGGACAAAUCCAACACAUAAAUCAUCAAUAACACAAGGCUUUGCCCCUGCUUCACUCAAUAUAAACAAACAAUUAACGAUUCAUUCAUAUUGCAUAAGAAAACCCUACAUUAUAUACUUCAUCAACAACAAAAACAACACUAAAAUUCCCCCAAAAAAAUAAUUAGAAAACUUACGUGUCGUGUUGG